GCUAACUCCGUGCCAGCAGCCGCGGUAAUACGGAGGGUCCGAGCGUUAUCCGGAUUUAUUGGGUUUAAAGGGUACGUAGGCGGAAUUUUAAGUCAGUAGUGAAAGCCCGUUGCUUAACGACGGAAUUGCUAUUGAUACUGGGAUUCUUGAAUAUAGUUGAAGUAGGCGGAAUACGGCAUGUAGCGGUGAAAUGCAUAGAUAUGCCGUGGAACACCGAUUGCGAAGGCAGCUUACUAAGCUAUGAUUGACGCUAAGGUACGAAAGCGUGGGUAGCGAACAGGAUUAGAUACCCUAGUAGUC
RNAcentral lists this ribosomal RNA (300 nucleotides) under uncultured Owenweeksia sp. Its description in RNAcentral is "bacterial SSU rRNA". It matches the Rfam family "Bacterial small subunit ribosomal RNA", at positions 496 to 795 of the family's 1533-position model. Lineage: Bacteria; Pseudomonadati; Bacteroidota; Flavobacteriia; Flavobacteriales; Owenweeksiaceae. The record is from RNAcentral.